Molecule: ribosomal RNA, 379 nt
Filed under: uncultured eukaryote
Lineage: Eukaryota
Description: partial 18S ribosomal RNA
Rfam family: Eukaryotic small subunit ribosomal RNA
Source: RNAcentral
CAAUAGCGUAUAUUUAAGUUGUUGCAGUUAAAAAGCUCGUAGUUGGAUUUCGGGUAGGAUUUGCCGGUCCGUCUUUGAGAUGUGUACUGGUAAGUCCUAUCUUCUUGUCGGGGACCAGCUCCUGGGCUUCACUGUCCGGGACUGGGAGCCGACGAAGUUACUUUGAGUAAAUUAGAGUGUUCAAAGCAAGCCUACGCUCUGAAUAUAUUAGCAUGGAAUAACACGAUAGGACUCUGGCUUAUCUUGUUGGUCUGUGAGACCAGAGUAAUGAUUAAGAGGGACAGUCGGGGACAUUCGUAUUCCGUUGUCAGAGGUGAAAUUCUUGGAUUUACGGAAGACGAACAUCUGCGAAAGCAUUUGCCAAGGAUGUUUUCAUUGA